Molecule: ribosomal RNA, 253 nt
Filed under: uncultured bacterium
Lineage: Bacteria
Description: partial 16S ribosomal RNA
Rfam family: Bacterial small subunit ribosomal RNA
Source: RNAcentral
UACGUAGGGUGCGAGCGUUGUCCGGAAUUACUGGGCGUAAAGAGCUCGUAGGUGGUUUGUCGCGUUGUUCGUGAAAACUCACAGCUUAACUGUGGGCGUGCGGGCGAUACGGGCAGACUGGAGUACUGCAGGGGAGACUGGAAUUCCUGGUGUAGCGGUGAAAUGCGCAGAUAUCAGGAGGAACACCGGUGGCGAAGGCGGGACUCUGGGCCGAUACUGACGCUGAGGAGCGAAAGCGUGGGGAGCAAACAGG